This is a long non-coding RNA of Sapajus apella (tufted capuchin), 163 nucleotides long. RefSeq lists it as uncharacterized. The transcript has 2 exons. Lineage: Eukaryota; Metazoa; Chordata; Mammalia; Primates; Cebidae. The record is from RefSeq and is a predicted model, not a curated record.
AUGAACUAUUAUAGUAAACCUAAGACAAAACAAUACAAAUGAAAUGGAAACUCAAUAGUAAAACCACAAAUUUGGCAAAGAAGCAGAACCUCAUGAGAUUGAUCAAAGUGAUAACAGAUGUUAAUAUUUUCAGGUUUUAUAAUAGUAUUGGUAUUACUUUUUU